Non-coding RNA from Pan troglodytes (chimpanzee), 148 nucleotides. It matches the Rfam family "Metazoan signal recognition particle RNA". Rfam says of the family: The signal recognition particle (SRP) is a universally conserved ribonucleoprotein. The record is from Rfam. NCBI's taxonomy places the organism in Eukaryota, Metazoa, Chordata, Mammalia, Primates, Hominidae.
GCCAGGCGCGGUGGUGCAUGCCUGUAAUCCCAGCUACUCUGGAGGCUGAGACGGGAGGAUAGCUUGAGCCCAGGAGGUGGAGGUUGCAGUGAGCCAUGAUCAGGCCACUGCACUGCAGCCUGGACAACAGAGUGAGAUCUUGUCUCUA